Molecule: ribosomal RNA, 254 nt
Filed under: uncultured bacterium
Lineage: Bacteria
Description: partial 16S ribosomal RNA
Rfam family: Bacterial small subunit ribosomal RNA
Source: RNAcentral
UACGUAGGGUGCGAGCGUUGUCCGGAAUUAUUGGGCGUAAAGAGCUCGUAGGCGGUCUGUCGCGUCGGUCGUGAAAACCUGCAGCUUAACUGUGGGCGUGCGGUCGAUACGGGCAUGACUGGAGUUCGGCAGGGGAGACUGGAAUUCCUGGUGUAGCGGUGAAAUGCGCAGAUAUCAGGAGGAACACCGGUGGCGAAGGCGGGUCUCUGGGCAGUAACUGACGCUGAGGAGCGAAAGCGUGGGGAGCGAACAGG